RNAcentral lists this ribosomal RNA (252 nucleotides) under uncultured bacterium. RNAcentral describes it as "partial 16S ribosomal RNA". It matches the Rfam family "Bacterial small subunit ribosomal RNA", at positions 524 to 775 of the family's 1533-position model. The record is from RNAcentral.
UACGUAGGGUGCAAGCGUUGUCCGGAAUUAUUGGCGUAAAGAGCUCGUAGGCGGUCUGUCGCGUCGGCUGUGAAAACCCGGGGCUCAACCCCGGGCCUGCAGUCGAUACGGGCAGACUAGAGUGUGGUAGGGGGAGACUGGAAUUCCUGGUGUAGCGGUGAAAUGCGCAGAUAUCAGGAGGAACACCGGUGGCGAAGGCGGGUCUCUGGGCCAUAACUGACGCUGAGGAGCGAAAGCGUGGGGAGCGAACGG